This 163-nucleotide ribosomal RNA is filed under the name Mitrasacme polymorpha. RNAcentral's name for it is "5.8S ribosomal RNA". It matches the Rfam family "5.8S ribosomal RNA". Rfam says of the family: 5.8S ribosomal RNA (5.8S rRNA) is a component of the large subunit of the eukaryotic ribosome. Lineage: Eukaryota; Viridiplantae; Streptophyta; Magnoliopsida; Gentianales; Loganiaceae. The record is from RNAcentral.
AAAACGACUCUCGGCAACGGAUAUCUCGGCUCUCGCAUCGAUGAGAACGUAGCAAACUGCGAUACUUGGUGUGAAUUGCAGAAUCCCGUGAACCAUCGAGUUUUUGAACGCAAGUUGCGCCCGAAGCCAAUAGGCCGAGGGCACGUCUGCAUGGGCGUCACGC